RNAcentral lists this ribosomal RNA (253 nucleotides) under uncultured bacterium. RNAcentral's name for it is "partial 16S ribosomal RNA". It matches the Rfam family "Bacterial small subunit ribosomal RNA", at positions 524 to 776 of the family's 1533-position model. The record is from RNAcentral.
UACGUAGGGGGCAAGCGUUGUCCGGAUUUAUUGGGCGUAAAGAGCGUGUAGGCGGCUUGACAGGUCUGCUGUGAAAACUCGAGGCUCAACCUCGAGAUGUCGGCGGAAACCGUCUGGCUAGAGUCCGGAAGAGGAGAGUGGAAUUCCUGGUGUAGCGGUGAAAUGCGCAGAUAUCAGGAAGAACACCUAUGGCGAAGGCAGCUCUCUGGGACGGUACUGACGCUGAGACGCGAAAGCGUGGGGAGCGAACGGG